Molecule: ribosomal RNA, 433 nt
Filed under: uncultured bacterium
Lineage: Bacteria
Description: partial 16S ribosomal RNA
Rfam family: Bacterial small subunit ribosomal RNA
Source: RNAcentral
AACGAACGCUGGCGGCAUGCCUAACACAUGCAAGUCGAACGAGACCUUCGGGUCUAGUGGCGCACGGGUGCGUAACGCGUGGGAACCUGCCCUUGGGUUCGGAAUAACUCCCCGAAAGGGGUGCUAAUACCGGAUAAUGUCUUCGGACCAAAGAUUUAUCGCCUUUGGAUGGGCCCGCGUUGGAUUAGCUAGUUGGUAGGGUAAAAGCCUACCAAGGCGACGAUCCAUAGCUGGCCUGAGAGGAUGAUCAGCCACACUGGGACUGAGACACGGCCCAGACUCCUACGGGAGGCAGCAGUGGGGAAUAUUGGACAAUGGGCGAAAGCCUGAUCCAGCAAUGCCGCGUGAGUGAUGAAGGCCUUAGGGUUGUAAAGCUCUUUUACCCGGGAUGAUAAUGACAGUACCGGGAGAAUAAGCUCCGGCUAACUCCGUG